ACGAAAAUUGAAUCGUAACACCUUAGCAACCCUACAAGGUGGGUGGUGCUAUCCGAAAUCCUUGAAUUUCUUUUUAUGUCUAAAUGUCACUUCUUGAGCAUAUAUGAAUAUAUAGAAUCAUGCAUUGUAGGGUUGAUUUGAGCUUACACUACAGGAAAUUAGUUAAAAGACGGCAUUUAUUUAGCGGCUUUUUGAUAUGGGCCGGCCCAAGAUUAUAGCCCAAAUUAUAUAUUACUUUCCUGGGCCUAGACCAUAAUUAAUUAUCCAUCUCUCUCUCUUCCUCUCUCUCUCUGUCUCUGUCUCUCUCUCUCUUUCUCUCUCUCUAGGCCCAUAAUUGCCCAUCUAGAUCUCUCUCUCUCUCUCCCCCUUCCUCUCCUACGCACAGACUAAAGAAGGGUUUUUAUCUCCAACUCCAUCGCUCUCUUUCCCACUCCAUCUCCCCAGACCUCAUCUAGGGUUUCCUCUUCUCUACCCUUUUCUAGGGUUCCGAACUCAUCCGCAUCCUCUAGACCUCGCACAAGAUCGCCGCAUUGGGAGACCUCAUUCACCUUCGUGAUCCCUUUUGACCUCGCACACGAUCACUGCAUUGGAAGGAAUCGUUCGUCAACCUUCGUAAUCCAUAGUUGCCAUAGAUGCUUUGUUUAUUACAGGGUUGAAUUGAGCAAUGCAGUAGAAUUCGAUGUAAUUAGGAUUUGUAUUUUAAGGUAUGAUGAUAGAGAUUUUUUCUUUUUGGUUUUUUUGCAAGCUAAUGCAUUUAAUCAUUGGAUCUUGCUAGAUAUAGACAAUGUCGCCUUUUGGAAUUUGAUGCUGCAUUUAUAUGAAUUUUAAACUAUCUAGCUGCUAUUUUAAGUUUCUCCAUCUAUUGAACCUUCUAAGGUUUUAUCAUUUGGUAAAUCCAGUUGAUAAAUUUGCAUUUUAGGGUUUUGCAUGCAAGAAUUAACUUAGGAAAUCUUUAAUUUUAGGUUUCUUUUCUCAAUUCUGGUGCCUCUUUUAAGUGUUUGUUUUGGAAUUAGGUCAUGCACCAAUGUUAUGCUCGUAUUUCUCCAAAAUUGGCAUUUAAAAUAGUUAUCGGGCAUCCUAUGUUCCAGAUCUAGAGUAUAAUUGGAAGCUGUAAUUUAUCAAAUUUAACUAUUUGUUCUCAAUUUAGAGCAAGGGUUUACUGCUCAAAGCCAGAAGUUCAAUAUGUUUAAUUCAUCAGAGUUAUGCUUCGGUGAUUGUGGCUAAUUUGAUGGGUUUACUAAUCUUCAUCUAACUUGUGCAUGGCUUUAGCUCACUCUCCUCAUUUAUGUUUCUUUUUAGUUAUAAAUAUUAAGUAAAAAAAAGGUUAAAAUUGAUAAUUAAGCUGAUUGCUUCAUAAUUUACCCUUCUUUGGAUCAUCGUGCCUCCCGUGGAUUUUGUUUUGCUCAUCUAUUGAUGUGUGUAAUUUGUGCUUCUUGUUUUCGCUUUAUGGAUCUUUUCAAUUUAUAUCCAUUUAGCUUUUGCAAAUGUGUUAGUAGUUUGUUGUCAAGUAAUAAACAACUUGACAAAAACAUUCAGUGGUCCCUCAUGAACUUGAAUAAUUAGACUAAUUUUCAAAUAGUAGGUUCAUUUGCCCAUUCUCUUUCAAUUGUACGUAAUAUAAAAUCUUACUUCGCGGCUAUCAAUUGCCAAAUAGUUGAAGCAGUUGAUGUCAUUCAUAUCGAAUUAUAAUAGUUAAUCUAAGCAUUUAGUGUAAAUUCGGCAAAACAGCUUUAAAUGCCAAUUUUUAUGGUAUAUUAUGUCUUGUUGUAAGUAUAAGGAUCAAUGAUAUCUUAUAGAGUUUUUAUCAUUGUAACACACUGGACCUUUACAAAUGGUGAGGUUCCAGCGUUUGAUGAGUGUUCUGAGUUUUUCCAGAUAUUCUGGAGGGUCGUUGACAGUGUUCCGACCUAUGGCUCGUAUCUCGAGAUUUAUGAUAUUUUAAGUAGCGUUAAGGCCACCAAAGAGGAGGACUUAGGCUGCUCUCGAGUUGCCUCCGCAGGGCUGUCUACCGGUACAGCCUUGAUGGUUGUACCGAUACAGAAAGUGUACCGGUACAUCUUGAUGGUUGUACCGGUACAGAUGUGGUGAAUUGCUAACUCGAGGCUCGGGUUAGCUGUUUCGCAGGAUUUGUACCGGUACACUUUCCCGUGUACCGGUACACUUUGCCAGACUGCGAACAGGCUGUGUUUGAGGGGUGUUUUUGCAUUUGUGCUUUCCUAUAUUAGCACCCACGCCCCUAGGGCUCUCUCUGAGCCUUGCACCAGCAGAGAAAGAGGUAAGGGGGUCCUCCACACCUCCCCUUUUGAUUUCUUUGCUUUCACUUGAGUUUUGAGAGAUUAAACAUCUCUUUUUGGUCUUCUUUUGCAUCUUGGGGGCUUUUCCACCAUAGGAGAAGACUUGGAGCUUGGUUGGAGGAUUGUUGGAGGAGAGAUCUUCAACCCUAACUCAUUCCAAGCCUUGUUUGGAGCUUCUUGUGAGGUUGCUUUGAAAGGGAUUUAACUCUCUUUUGAGUUUUAAAAGGGAAUUUCUACACUAUAGGGUACUAGGAGAGUGGUGGACACCUUCGUCGGGGCAAACGAAGGGUUUCGUGAAGUCACGGUGGGUUUGGCUUCAUUGGAAUAGGAGAAAACUUCCCCUAAGUGGUUGAAUGUCUUCGUUUCAUCGCAUGGCAUGCAUAUUCAUGCUAGAUAGAAUUUAUAUGAAUUUUAAAAUACUUAAAAUGUAUGUGUUAUGUAUUAUG
This is a long non-coding RNA of Ananas comosus (pineapple), 2740 nucleotides long. RefSeq lists it as uncharacterized. The transcript is spliced from 4 exons. Lineage: Eukaryota; Viridiplantae; Streptophyta; Magnoliopsida; Poales; Bromeliaceae. The record is from RefSeq and is a predicted model, not a curated record.